Molecule: ribosomal RNA, 884 nt
Filed under: uncultured archaeon
Lineage: Archaea
Description: bacterial SSU rRNA
Rfam family: Archaeal small subunit ribosomal RNA
Source: RNAcentral
GGCCACUGCUAUCGGGGUCCGACUAAGCCAUGCGAGUUAAGGGGCACCCUUCGGGGAGCACCGGCGCACGGCUCAGUAACACGUGGCUAACCUACCCUCGGGUGGGGGAUAACCUCGGGAAACUGAGGCUAAUCCCCCAUAGGGGAGGAGGUCUGGAAUGAUCCCUCCCCGAAAGGCGUUAUGCCGCCCGAGGAUGGGGCUGCGGCGGAUUAGGUAGUUGGUGGGGUAACGGCCCACCAAGCCUACGAUCCGUACGGGCCCUGAGAGGGGGAGCCCGGAGAUGGACACUGAGACACGGGUCCAGGCCCUACGGGGCGCAGCAGGCGCGAAACCUCCGCAAUGCGCGAAAGCGCGGCGGGGGGACCCCGAGUGCCCACGCUCUGCGUGGGCUUUUCCGGAGUGUAAACAGCUCCGGGAAUAAGGGCUGGGCAAGUCCGGUGCCAGCAGCCGCGGUAAUACCGGCGGCCCGAGUGGUGGCCACUGUUAUUGGGCCUAAAGCGUCCGUAGCCGGCCCGGUAAGUCUCUGCUUAAAUCCUGCGGCUCAACCGCGGGGCUGGCAGAGAUACUGCCGGGCUUGGGACCGGGAGAGGCCGGGGGUACCCCAGGGGUAGCGGUGAAAUGCGUUGAUCCCUGGGGGACCACCUGUGGCGAAGGCGCCCGGCUGGAACGGGUCCGACGGUGAGGGACGAAGGCCGGGGGAGCAAACCGGAUUAGAUACCCGGGUAGUCCCGGCUGUAAACUCUGCGGACUAGGUGUCGCGUCGGCUUCGGGCCGACGCGGUGCCGAAGGGAAGCCGUUAAGUCCGCCGCCUGGGGAGUACGGUCGCAAGACUGAAACUUAAAGGAAUUGGCGGGGAGCACUACAACGGGUGGAGCCUGCGGUUU